Molecule: ribosomal RNA, 608 nt
Filed under: Aeromonas sp. Ri1Ps_4788
Lineage: Bacteria; Pseudomonadati; Pseudomonadota; Gammaproteobacteria; Aeromonadales; Aeromonadaceae
Description: bacterial SSU rRNA
Rfam family: Bacterial small subunit ribosomal RNA
Source: RNAcentral
GCCAUGCCGCGUGUGUGAAGAAGGCCUUCGGGUUGUAAAGCACUUUCAGCGAGGAGGAAAGGUUGGUGGCUAAUAUCCACUGGCUGUGACGUUACUCGCAGAAAAAGCACCGGCUAACUCCGUGCCAGCAGCCGCGGUAAUACGGAGGGUGCAAGCGUUAAUCGGAAUUACUGGGCGUAAAGCGCACGCAGGCGGUUGGAUAAGUUAGAUGUGAAAGCCCCGGGCUCAACCUGGGAAUUGCAUUUAAAACUGUCCAGCUAGAGUCUUGUAGAGGGGGGUAGAAUUCCAGGUGUAGCGGUGAAAUGCGUAGAGAUCUGGAGGAAUACCGGUGGCGAAGGCGGCCCCCUGGACAAAGACUGACGCUCAGGUGCGAAAGCGUGGGGAGCAAACAGGAUUACAUACCCUGGUAGUCCCCGCCGUAAACGAUGUCAAUUUGGAGGCUGUGUCCUUGAGACUUGGCUUCCGGAGCUAACGCGUUAAAUCGACCGCCUGGGGAGUACGGCCGCAAGGUUAAAACUCAAAUGAAUUGACCGGGGCCCGCACAAGCUGUGGAGCAUGUGGUUUAAUUCGAUGCAACGCUAAGAACCUUACCUGGCCUUGACAUGUCU